Small nucleolar RNA from Carassius carassius (crucian carp), 86 nucleotides. RefSeq annotates it as small nucleolar RNA SNORD11B. NCBI's taxonomy places the organism in Eukaryota, Metazoa, Chordata, Actinopteri, Cypriniformes, Cyprinidae. The transcript has a single exon. The record is from RefSeq and is a predicted model, not a curated record.
UUCAAGCUGUGAUGAUGACGCCCAUUGUGUCAUGUUGCUGAAAAAUCAUGAGGCCUUUUUUUGUCACUACCUCAUCUGAGCUUGUG